CCCGCCGGCGACCGGCGCACGGGUGAGUAACACGUAUGAAACCUGCCCGUAGCAGGGGAGUAAGCGGAAGAAAUUCCGUCUAAUACCGCGUAACAACCCAUGGAGGCAUCUCUGUGGGUUUAAAGGAAGCGAUUCCGGCUACGGAUGGUCAUGCGUCGCAUUAGCUUGUUGGCGGGGUAACGGCCCACCAAGGCGACGAUGCGUAGGGGUUCUGAGAGGAAGGUCCCCCACACUGGUACUGAGACACGGACCAGACUCCUACGGAAGGCAGCAG
Molecule: ribosomal RNA, 274 nt
Filed under: uncultured bacterium
Lineage: Bacteria
Description: partial 16S ribosomal RNA
Rfam family: Bacterial small subunit ribosomal RNA
Source: RNAcentral